RNAcentral lists this transfer RNA (62 nucleotides) under Chthamalus antennatus. RNAcentral's name for it is "tRNA-Ala". The record is from RNAcentral. Lineage: Eukaryota; Metazoa; Arthropoda; Thecostraca; Balanomorpha; Chthamalidae.
AGAGUAGAAGUUUUAUAAUAUUUGACCUGCAAUCAGAAGAAGAUGAUAUUCAUCCUACUUUA